This 440-nucleotide ribosomal RNA is filed under the name uncultured bacterium. RNAcentral describes it as "partial 16S ribosomal RNA". It matches the Rfam family "Bacterial small subunit ribosomal RNA", at positions 338 to 795 of the family's 1533-position model. The record is from RNAcentral.
CCUACGGGAGGCAGCAGUAGGGAAUAUUGCUCAAUGGGGGAAACCCUGAAGCAGCAACGCCGCGUGGAGGAUGACGGUUUUCGGAUUGUAAACUCCUUUUGUUAGAGAAGAUAAUGACGGUAUCUAACGAAUAAGCACCGGCUAACUCCGUGCCAGCAGCCGGGGUAAUACGGAGGGUGCAAGCGUUACUCGGAAUCACUGGGCGUAAAGAGCGCGUAGGCGGGAUAGCAAGUCAGAUGUGAAAUCCUAUGGCUUAACCAUAGAACUGCAUUUGAAACUGUUAUUCUAGAGUAUGGGAGAGGUAGGUGGAAUUCUGGGUGUAGGGGUAAAAUGCGUAGAGAUCAAGAGGAAUACUCAUUGCGAAGGCGACCUGCUAGAACAUAACUGACGCUGAGGCGCGAAAGCGUGGGGAGCAAACAGGAUGAGAUACCCGAGUAGUC